CCUACGGGGGGCAGCAGUGAGGAAUAUUGGUCAAUGGACGAGAGUCUGAACCAGCCAAGUAGCGUGAAGGAUGACUGCCCUAUGGGUUGUAAACUUCUUUUAUAUGGGAAUAAAAUGUUCCACGUGUGGGAUUUUGUAUGUACCAUAUGAAUAAGGAUCGGCUAACUCCGUGCCAGCAGCCGCGGUAAUACGGAGGAUCCGAGCGUUAUCCGGAUUUAUUGGGUUUAAAGGGAGCGUAGGUGGAUUGUUAAGUCAGUUGUGAAAGUUUGCGGCUCAACCGUAAAAUUGCAGUUGAAACUGGCAGUCUUGAGUACAGUAGAGGUGGGCGGAAUUCGUAGUGUAGCGGUGAAAUGCUUAGAUAUCACGAAGAACUCCGAUUGCGAAGGCAGUUCACUGGACUGCAACUGACACUGAGGCUCGAAAGUGUGGGUAUCAAACAGGAUUAGAUACCCCUGUAGUC
Molecule: ribosomal RNA, 460 nt
Filed under: uncultured bacterium
Lineage: Bacteria
Description: partial 16S ribosomal RNA
Rfam family: Bacterial small subunit ribosomal RNA
Source: RNAcentral